AUUGAACGCUGGCGGCGUGCCUAACACAUGCAAGUCGAUCGGUAACAGGUGUAGCAAUACAUGCUGACGAGAGGCGGACGGGUGAGUAACGCUUGGGAAUCUGCCUAUUAGUGGGGGACAACCCGGGGAAACUCGGGCUAAUACCGCAUACGCUCUACGGAGGAAAGCCGGGGACCGCAAGGCCUGGCGCUAAUAGAUGAGCCCAAGUCGGAUUAGCUAGUUGGUAGGGUAACGGCCUACCAAGGCUACGAUCCGUAGCUGGCUUGAGAGGACGACCGGCCCAAAUGGGACGGAGACACGGCCCAGACUCCUACGGGAGGCAGCAGUGGGGAAUAUUGGACAAUGGGGGAAACCCUGAUCCGGCGACGCCGCGUGGGUGAAGAAGGCCGGCGGGUUGUAAAGCCCUUUCGGUGGGGAAGAAAAGCCUCGACCUAACACGUCGGGGUAUUGACGUAACCCACAAAAGAAGCACCGGCUAACUCUGUGCCAGCAGCCGCCGUAA
RNAcentral lists this ribosomal RNA (502 nucleotides) under uncultured bacterium. RNAcentral describes it as "partial 16S ribosomal RNA". It matches the Rfam family "Bacterial small subunit ribosomal RNA", at positions 29 to 523 of the family's 1533-position model. The record is from RNAcentral.